RNAcentral lists this ribosomal RNA (530 nucleotides) under uncultured bacterium. RNAcentral's name for it is "bacterial SSU rRNA". It matches the Rfam family "Bacterial small subunit ribosomal RNA", at positions 355 to 896 of the family's 1533-position model. The record is from RNAcentral.
UGGGGAAUAUUGCACAAUGGGCGGAAGCCUGAUGCAGCGACGCCGCGUGGGGGAUGAAGGCCUUCGGGUUGUAAACUCCUUUCGACAGGGACGAAGCGUAAGUGACGGUACCUGUAUAAGAAGCACCGGCUAACUACGUGCCAGCAGCCGCGGUAAUACGUAGGGUGCGAGCGUUGUCCGGAAUUACUGGGUGUAAAGAGCUCGUAGGUGGUUUGUCGCGUCGUCUGUGAAAUUCCGGGGCUUAACUCCGGGCGUGCAGGCGAUACGGGCUGACUUGAGUGCUGUAGGGGAGACUGGAAUUCCUGGUGUAGCGGUGAAAUGCGCAGAUAUCAGGAGGAAUACCGAUGGCGAAGGCAGGUCUCUGGGCAGUAACUGACGCUGAGGAGCGAAAGCAUGGGUAGCGAACAGGAUUAGAUACCCUGGUAGUCCAUGCCGUAAACGGUGGGCGCUAGGUGUAGGGGGCUUCCACGUCUUCUGUGCCGUAGCUAACGCAUUAAGCGCCCCGCCUGGGGAGUACGGCCGCAAGGCUA